Molecule: ribosomal RNA, 330 nt
Filed under: uncultured bacterium
Lineage: Bacteria
Description: bacterial SSU rRNA
Rfam family: Bacterial small subunit ribosomal RNA
Source: RNAcentral
CAUGGCUCAGAUUGAACGCUGGCGGCAGGCCUAACACAUGCAAGUCGAGCGGUAGCACAAGAGAGCUUGCUCUCUGGGUGACGAGCGGCGGACGGGUGAGUAAUGUCUGGGAAACUGCCUGAUGGAGGGGGAUAACUACUGGAAACGGUAGCUAAUACCGCAUGACGUCUUCGGACCAAAGUGGGGGACCUUCGGGCCUCACGCCAUCAGAUGUGCCCAGAUGGGAUUAGCUAGUAGGUGGGGUAAUGGCUCACCUAGGCGACGAUCUCUAGCUGGUCUGAGAGGAUGACCAGCCACACUGGAACUGAGACACGGUCCAGACUCCUACGG